AGUGAACGCUGGCGGUAGGCCUAACACAUGCAAGUCGAACGGCAGCACAGUAAGAGCUUGCUCUUACGGGUGGCGAGUGGCGGACGGGUGAGGAAUACAUCGGAAUCUACUUUUUCGUGGGGGAUAACGUAGGGAAACUUACGCUAAUACCGCAUACGACCUACGGGUGAAAGCAGGGGAUCUUCGGACCUUGCGCGAUUGAAUGAGCCGAUGUCGGAUUAGCUAGUUGGCGGGGUAAAGGCCCACCAAGGCGACGAUCCGUAGCUGGUCUGAGAGGAUGGUCAGCCACACUGGAACUGAGACACGGUCCAGACUCCUACGGGAGGCAGCAGUGGGGAAUAUUGGACAAUGGGCGCAAGCCUGAUCCGGCCAUACCGCGUGGGUGAAGAAGGCCUUCGGGUUGUAAAGCCCUUUUGUUGGGAAAGAAAAGCAGCAGGUUAAUACCCCGCUGUUCUGACGGUACCCAAAGAAUAAGCACCGGCUAACUUCGUG
Molecule: ribosomal RNA, 492 nt
Filed under: uncultured bacterium
Lineage: Bacteria
Description: partial 16S ribosomal RNA
Rfam family: Bacterial small subunit ribosomal RNA
Source: RNAcentral